GGGCAGGAGAAGAGACUCGAGCGGCACCCGAGCCGCAUCCACGCCGCCCGCCCGCCCCUGGGGUCUGGGUAGGUAACGGGCCCGGCGGGAAGGAGGGGCUCCCAGGCCGUCCCUCCCAGCGCUCACCUCAGCUCCUCGUCGACAUUCCCGCGGGGCUGUUCGGCCGACGCCACCAUAGAGGAAGUCGUAGAGGUCUUGUUCUUCAAGAUCCCCUUGAUGGGCCGGUGCGAGGCCGUCGAGGCCGCCAUUGCCGGGCGCUCCGGCUGUCGGCUCAGGGUCGCUGCUUGGCGUGGGGUCCGCGAAGAGAAGGGUCGGCACAGCAGAGACUCGCAGGCAGCCGCAGAUCCCGCUCAGGGCUAAAGCGGCCGCAACUGCUGCCUCGGAAACGGCUACCGCAGCGGUUGUCACGACACAACGACCCCGACGCCAGAGCCAACGCCGAACGGGUGGCGGCUACUCGCGCACCCUUAGCCACUGGCACUUGACCCGCGGCUC
RNAcentral lists this long non-coding RNA (495 nucleotides) under Homo sapiens (human). Its description in RNAcentral is "HSALNT0066956". The record is from RNAcentral. Lineage: Eukaryota; Metazoa; Chordata; Mammalia; Primates; Hominidae.